UACGGAGGAUCCAAGCGUUAUCCGGAUUUAUUGGGUUUAAAGGGUGCGUAGGCGGGUUGAUAAGUCAGUGGUGAAAGUUUGCAGCUUAACUGUAAAAUUGCCGUUGAAACUGUCAAUCUUGAGUGCAAGUGAGGUAAGCGGAAUGUGUUGUGUAGCGGUGAAAUGCUUAGAUAUAACACAGAACACCGAUUGCGAAGGCAGCUUACUAAUAUGUAACUGACGCUGAGGCACGAAAGCGUGGGGAUCAAACAGG
Molecule: ribosomal RNA, 253 nt
Filed under: uncultured bacterium
Lineage: Bacteria
Also listed under: 1 other name
Description: partial 16S ribosomal RNA
Rfam family: Bacterial small subunit ribosomal RNA
Source: RNAcentral